AUGCUUCAUGCUAGUAUGAUUUCCCCAUGCGAUGAUUUGCCCAUUUAUGAUGAUUUUCAUGUGGAGUCUAUUAGUUGUGAUGCCAUGUUACAUAGGAUUUCUUGUGACAAUUCCCUUGGUCACAUCAUGUUUGAUAAUCCGCUUGACUUGUCAUAUGCUAUGCAUGAGAUCAACCAUAUGACUUAUUUGCAAUCUCUUUGUAGUGACUAUGCAUAUGCCAUUAAAAUAAACCCAAUUUGCACAUAUAGCAUAGAUGACAAUCCCAUGGUUAUUGGCAUUUGUUUUUCUUGUGAUGAUAUUAAUAUGCUCUCUUGGCAUCAUUGA
This 324-nucleotide ribosomal RNA is filed under the name Triticum aestivum (bread wheat). RNAcentral describes it as "partial small subunit ribosomal RNA". The record is from RNAcentral. Lineage: Eukaryota; Viridiplantae; Streptophyta; Magnoliopsida; Poales; Poaceae.